AUCUGUUCUGCCUCCUGGUGCAUCUGUGGGACCCCAGGACAUACCUCCUGAAGCAAUGUCACAUUAAGGCUGUUAUUUCCCACGUCUCAGCACUGAAGGCAACUGUAAAAGCACAAAUGUCAUCUAGGGACAGCAUCACAUUAAACCCUGAGAGCUUCAAUGAGUUCAUUAAGGGGGCACGUGGUUGAGAAAAUAAGAAGCUCUACAAUUUAGUCCUCGUGCAAAGGCAGAAAAUUCUGACACCAACUCUCGAAGUCAUGAUGAGGCACCUGGUGACCCAGCAGGUGAACUCAUGUACCCACUUCCUGGUUGUCUGUGGCUCUGAGCAUCCAUGGAAUAAAUUCACAAGGUCUCAAAAAAGAGUGAACUGCUCCAGGAAAACCCAAUGGUAUCUUUGAAUGGACUUCACCAUUUAAUAAGUUCUUUGUAAAACCAUCUCACUUGAGCCCAAUAACACUGUG
Ochotona princeps (American pika) is the source of this 461-nucleotide long non-coding RNA. RefSeq lists it as uncharacterized. The transcript has 3 exons. The record is from RefSeq and is a predicted model, not a curated record. NCBI's taxonomy places the organism in Eukaryota, Metazoa, Chordata, Mammalia, Lagomorpha, Ochotonidae.